RNAcentral lists this ribosomal RNA (253 nucleotides) under uncultured bacterium. Its description in RNAcentral is "partial 16S ribosomal RNA". It matches the Rfam family "Bacterial small subunit ribosomal RNA", at positions 524 to 776 of the family's 1533-position model. The record is from RNAcentral.
UACGGGGGGGGCAAGCGUUGUUCGGAUUCAUUGGGCGUAAAGGGUGCGUAGGCGGCGCGGUAAGUCGGGUGUGAAAUCUCGGGGCUUAACUCCGAAACUGCAUUCGAUACUGCCGUGCUUGAGGACUGGAGAGGAGACUGGAAUUUACGGUGUAGCGGUGAAAUGCGUAGAUAUCGUAAGGAAGACCAGUGGCGAAGGCGGGUCUCUGGACAGUUCCUGACGCUGAGGCACGAAGGUCAGGGGAGCAAACGGG